This 515-nucleotide long non-coding RNA is filed under the name Cyanistes caeruleus (blue tit). RNAcentral's name for it is "lncRNA (ENSCCEG00000019515.1)". The record is from RNAcentral. Lineage: Eukaryota; Metazoa; Chordata; Aves; Passeriformes; Paridae.
CAGAAUUUUGCAUUGUGAAUGCAGGCAGCCUGAAAACAAGGAAAAUCCGUCUGGAAUGCCUAACGUGGAUUGCUGAGGAAUAUAAUACAGAUUCAUGCUGCUGGAGCUGAGUAAUGCUGGGAACAUAAUAAAGUUUUGCAACAUUUAUUAAGUAUACAAACUGUAGAUGAUCAAAUACCCUGCACAACUGAAACAGGGAUAUUGACUGUUCUCAUCUCCUUUCCUCUAUGCUUUGAGGCCACCAUGCUAGAUAAAACUUCUUUAAAGCACCUGAGAGAGAGAGAGAGAGAGAGAAAGAACACCUCCAGAGAGCAGCCUGCUGAUAGAACCUACUUCUAACAAUAUGGACAAGGCUUUGUUGGAUGUCACUGGCAGAGAGAUCAGGAGCUCAAGAUAAUCUUAAUGGCCACAGCAGGAAUGUUACAGUCAGAGCGCUUACAAUUUGUCAGAGGAAAUGCAGAACAUCUCUACAGGAGUCUGUUUAAGAGGACAUCAUUUCUCGAUAAGCUCUUGCU